GCCUCUGUAGCUCAGUUGGUAGCGCAAGGGACUGAAAAUCCCUGUGUCGUUGGUUCGAUUCCGACCGGAGGCACCA
RNAcentral lists this transfer RNA (76 nucleotides) under Clostridia bacterium. RNAcentral describes it as "tRNA-Phe". It matches the Rfam family "tRNA". Rfam says of the family: Transfer RNA (tRNA) molecules are approximately 80 nucleotides in length. The record is from RNAcentral. Lineage: Bacteria; Bacillati; Bacillota; Clostridia.